GAUGAACGCUGGCGGCGUGCCUAAUACAUGCGAGUCGAGCGAACAGAUGAGGAGCUUGCUCCUCUGACGUUAGCGGCGGACGGGUGAGUAACACGUGGAUAACCUACCUAUAAGACUGGGAUAACUUCGGGAAACCGGAGCUAAUACCGGAUAAUAUAUUGAACCGCAUGGUUCAAUAGUGAAAGACGGUUUUGCUGUCACUUAUAGAUGGAUCCGCGCCGCAUUAGCUAGUUGGUAAGGUAACGGCUUACCAAGGCAACGAUGCGUAGCCGACCUGAGAGGGUGAUCGGCCACACUGGAACUGAGACACGGUCCAGACUCCUACGGGAGGCAGCAGUAGGGAAUCUUCCGCAAUGGGCGAAAGCCUGACGGAGCAACGCCGCGUGAGUGAUGAAGGUCUUCGGAUCGUAAAACUCUGUUAUUAGGGAAGAACAAAUGUGUAAGUAACUAUGCACGUCUUGACGGUACCUAAUCAGAAAGCCACGGCUAACUACGU
Molecule: ribosomal RNA, 496 nt
Filed under: uncultured bacterium
Lineage: Bacteria
Description: partial 16S ribosomal RNA
Rfam family: Bacterial small subunit ribosomal RNA
Source: RNAcentral